This 72-nucleotide transfer RNA is filed under the name Microcaldota archaeon. Its description in RNAcentral is "tRNA-Ala". It matches the Rfam family "tRNA". From Rfam's summary of the family: Transfer RNA (tRNA) molecules are approximately 80 nucleotides in length. Their secondary structure includes four short double-helical elements and three loops (D, anti-codon, and T loops). The record is from RNAcentral. Lineage: Archaea; Nanobdellati; Microcaldota.
GGGCCUGUGGUGAAACGGUAUCACACUCGCUUGGCGUGCGGGAAUCUCCGGGUUCAAAUCCCGGCAGGUCCA